GGUCCUGUAGCCUAAUGAAUAAGGUGUCGGUCUCCUAAACCGAAGAUUCAAGGUUGGAGACCUCUUUGGGUCG
This 73-nucleotide transfer RNA is filed under the name Angiostrongylus costaricensis. It matches the Rfam family "tRNA". From Rfam's summary of the family: Transfer RNA (tRNA) molecules are approximately 80 nucleotides in length. Their secondary structure includes four short double-helical elements and three loops (D, anti-codon, and T loops). Lineage: Eukaryota; Metazoa; Nematoda; Chromadorea; Rhabditida; Metastrongylidae. The record is from Rfam by way of RNAcentral.